AGGUGCGAUCAUACCAGCACUAAUGCACCGGAUCCCAUCAGAACUCCGCAGUGAAGCGUGCUUGGGCGAGAGUAGUACUAGGAUGGGUGACCUCCUGGGAAGUCCUCGUGUUGCACUUCUUU
Molecule: ribosomal RNA, 122 nt
Filed under: Phaseolus vulgaris (common bean)
Lineage: Eukaryota; Viridiplantae; Streptophyta; Magnoliopsida; Fabales; Fabaceae
Source: RNAcentral